RNAcentral lists this ribosomal RNA (496 nucleotides) under uncultured bacterium. RNAcentral describes it as "partial 16S ribosomal RNA". It matches the Rfam family "Bacterial small subunit ribosomal RNA", at positions 28 to 507 of the family's 1533-position model. The record is from RNAcentral.
GAUGAACGCUGGCGGCGUGCCUAUUCCUGCAAGUCGAGCGAACAGAUGAGGAGCUUGCUCCUCUGACGUUAGCGGCGGACGGGUGAGUAACACGUGGAUAACCUACCUAUAAGACUGGGAUAACUUCGGGAAACCGGAGCUAAUACCGGAUAAUAUAUUGAACCGCCUGGUUCAAUAGUGAAAGACGGUUUUGCUGUCACUUAUAGAUGGAUCCGCGCCGCAUUAGCUAGUUGGUAAGGUAACGGCUUACCAAGGCAACGAUGCGUAGCCGACCUGAGAGGGUGAUCGGCCACACUGGAACUGAGACACGGUCCAGACUCCUACGGGAGGCAGCAGUAGGGAAUCUUCCGCAAUGGGCGAAAGCCUGACGGAGCAACGCCGCGUGAGUGAUGAAGGUCUUCGGAUCGUAAAACUCUGUUAUUAGGGAAGAACAAAUGUGUAAGUAACUAUGCACGUCUUGACGGUACCUAAUCAGAAAGCCACGGCUAACUACGUG